Molecule: ribosomal RNA, 500 nt
Filed under: uncultured bacterium
Lineage: Bacteria
Description: partial 16S ribosomal RNA
Rfam family: Bacterial small subunit ribosomal RNA
Source: RNAcentral
AUUGAACGCUGGCGGCACGCCUUACACAUGCAAGUCGAACGGUAACAGGGAGCUUGCUCCGCUGACGAGUGGCGAACGGGUGAGUAAUGUAUCGGAACGUACCUUUCAGUGGGGGAUAACGUAGCGAAAGUUACGCUAAUACCGCAUAUUCUGUGAGCAGGAAAGCAGGGGAUUGCAAGACCUUGCGCUGAUUGAGCGGCCGAUAUCAGAUAAGCUAGUUGGUGAGGUAAAGGCUCACCAGGGCGACGAUCUGGAGCGGGUCUGAGAGGAUGAUCCGCCACACUGGAACGGAGACACGGUCCAGACUCCUACGGGAGGCAGCAGUGGGGAAUUUUGGACAAUGGGGGCAACCCUGAUCCAGCCAUGCCGCGUGAGUGAAGAAGGCCUUCGGGUUGUAAAGCUCUUUCGGCCGGAAAGAAAUCGCAUGGGUUAAUACCCUAUGCGGAUGACGGUACCGGCAUAAGAAGCACCGGCUAACUACGUGCCAGCAGCCGCCGUAA